AGUGAACGCUGGCGGCAGGCCUAACACAUGCAAGUCGAGCGGCAGCGCGGGGGCAACCCUGGCGGCGAGCGGCGGACGGGUGAGGAAUUCGUCGGAAUCUGCCUUUUUGUGGGGGAUAACGUAGGGAAACUUACGCUAAUACCGCAUACGUCCUACGGGAGAAAGUGGGGGACCGCAAGGCCUCACGCAGAAAGAUGAGCCGACGACCGAUUCACUAGUUGGUGGGGUAGAGGCCCACCAAGGCGACGAUCGGUAGCUGGGCUGAGAGGAUGAUCAGCCACACUGGGACUGAGACACGGCCCAGACUCCUACGGGAGGCCGCAGUGGGGAAUAUUGGACAAUGGGCGCAAGCCUGAUCCAGCCAUGCCGCGUGUGUGAAGAAGGCCUUCGGGUUGUAGAGCACUUUUGUCCGGAAAGAAAUCCCUGGAGCUAAUACCUUCGGGGGAUGACGGUACCGGAAGAAUAAGCACCGGCUAACUUCGUG
This 484-nucleotide ribosomal RNA is filed under the name uncultured bacterium. RNAcentral's name for it is "partial 16S ribosomal RNA". It matches the Rfam family "Bacterial small subunit ribosomal RNA", at positions 30 to 507 of the family's 1533-position model. The record is from RNAcentral.